This is a non-coding RNA of Chiloscyllium plagiosum (whitespotted bambooshark), 776 nucleotides long. Lineage: Eukaryota; Metazoa; Chordata; Chondrichthyes; Orectolobiformes; Hemiscylliidae. The record is from RefSeq and is a predicted model, not a curated record.
GACCAGCAGCAUCCAUGUCCUCCAGUUUGCCAGUGGAUGACCUACUUCUCAAGGAGCCCAGUGGUGAGAAGGACUUAUUGAACAUUCGAGGAAUGGAGGGGAUGUGGUUGAUUGUUAGUAUGCUGAUUAUAAAGUGCCUUUGAAGAUAUGAACAAGUGCAUUCACUUAUCUGGAUAAGUUUUAACAUCCCAACCUCCGCAAACACUGCUUCCAAAUCCAGUAUCGUUCACAGCAGACAGCAUCAACGCUGCUGAGCCAAGACUUUUUCAGGUUUUGUUAACAAAGAUGCUGCCAGAACUGUCGAGUUACUCCAGCACUUCCUGUUUUCAUUUCAUAAUCCACACAUGAAUUUAAAGGACAACUAAUUACUUCUUUGAUGGAGAAGAUUUUAAAUGAGGGAGUGAGCAAAUGCUUCAAGUUCAGACAUUGACAGAGAGAGGAAACCAUCAUCUGAGACCUAGCAGAUGGAAAGAGCUGUUUCUGAGUGAUAACAUUUGUAUGAUUGAAAUAAUUCGGUGCCCAAGACCUUGGUUCGCUACCUAUCAUUGUAAAAAUGUAUGUAUUCACCUCAUACCAGAAAUUUAAAGACCAUUCAGUCGGUACUUAAAUAAUAUAUUGAUCCUGCUUUUAAGAAAAUCUCACUAAUAGUUUCAUAAUUUGUCUCAUAUGGCCUUCCAAUAACACGCCAUAAAAAUAGCAUUGCGGAAACUUUAUUGAGUAUUUUCCAGCUCAUUAUUACAAAAGUCAUUUUUAAUUAAAUAGUGGAGAGGGAGGUU